CAAAGAUGGCGCCGCGAGGACGGAGGAAGCACGAAGCACAUGGCGCCGAUGGCGUAGUGCUCAAUGGUGCGGUGAUAAUUACUUCAUUUGACCUGCCAGCUUGUUAGAGCGGGAAUGAGUGGCAACAAACGUUUAUGGGAGCAAGGGAAGCUGCAGCUGCUAUCCUGGAAGAAAACGACGA
Ixodes scapularis (black-legged tick) is the source of this 181-nucleotide long non-coding RNA. RefSeq lists it as uncharacterized. Lineage: Eukaryota; Metazoa; Arthropoda; Arachnida; Ixodida; Ixodidae. The transcript has 3 exons. The record is from RefSeq and is a predicted model, not a curated record.